RNAcentral lists this long non-coding RNA (10702 nucleotides) under Phaseolus vulgaris (common bean). RNAcentral's name for it is "long non-coding RNA (PVUL_LNC001381)". Lineage: Eukaryota; Viridiplantae; Streptophyta; Magnoliopsida; Fabales; Fabaceae. The record is from RNAcentral.
CUUUUUUCUAACUCUGAUACUAAAAUCAUUGCUCUUUUUCUCUCAUCAUCUCCGUAAAGCUUUACCUUUAUUAUUUCUGCAAUUUGCUGUUGCAAUUUGAAAAUGGUGAAAUCAUGGGAAACAGUGACCCAUAAGACAUCAUUGAAAGUUUUCUUUCUUUUUAUCUCACUCUGCAUGUAAGUUGCUAGGAAUGUUUUUCCCACUCCCCCAAUUCCAUAUAUGCCAACAGUCAAAACUCUAUUAUCUUCCAGAAGCUCCCGAAUCUUCCUAACAUUUUCCCCAAAUUCUCUGCCAAUAAAUUCAUUUGACAACACCAAAGGCUUCUCUUCCUCGUACUCUUCCACUUCUUCAGUCAAGCAUUCUAUUUCCUUAUGUAUUAUUUCAGCCAAAUAUAUUUCUUCUUCUUGCACAUAAAAAGACCCAAACUGAUUCAGUGAGUUUUUUAUAUCAAUAGCUCUUUGUUUCAUGUCCUGCAGUCCGUCCAACCAUUCAUCAACCUCUCUCUUUCGCUUCUUGCCAUGUGACUCCAACAACUGUAAUUGUGUGUGAAUGUCCUCUUCUUUACUAGUCAGAUUGGAUAUAAUUACAUCUAACAUACUUUGCAAAGUAGUCAAAGUACCAUUAACAGCUUCAUGAUCUGUUUCAUUGUUUUGGUGAAACUUCAUUUAGAGUAAUGACAUAUUUAAAGAAAAAAAAAUACAAAUACAUUUUUAAAUACAAAAUCUAAUUAAACAGUAUUUUUUUUGUUGACUUUUCCUUUUAUUUAAUUGUUGGAUCGAAGUUUGAAAUAUAUAUUACUUUAUCAAAAUAAUAUAUAUAUUUUUUCAGCAAAAAUAUUUAAUUAAAAUUAUUAAAUUUUAUGCUUUUCCUCGAUAUUUUUUUUUAAUUUUAUUAUCAAUAUUACUUGAGAGACUUGAAAUAAACAAAAACUAGCCCCUAAGAAAUACUAGUAUUUGAUAUAAAAUAAACAAAAGUUUAGAAAUGAUUAAAAAAAAUAUAGGAACUAAAAUAAAAAAUUUAAUCAAAAAAUUAAUUUGCCCUGAUAAUUUAAAAAUAAAAAACCUCAAAUAGUUGUGCUGUAUAACUUCAACACACAUAAAAAAAAUGUGUGGUUAAUUUAAAUAUAUAUAUAUAUAUAUAUGUUCACAUUAAAAAAUUUAAAAAAUAUAAUUAGUUUAAAAUACAUAUGUUGAAACACCAAAUUCUUCAUUGAGUGAAAUAAUAAAAUUGACCACUAAUUAAGAAUUAAAAUAAGAAAAGGUAACAUAUCUCUAGAGACAAAUAACAUUAAAAUUGAUGAUUGAAAAAUAGAAAUCAAACUACCUUGUAAUAAUACAAGCCCAAGAAUGAAGGAAAGAACAUAAAGACAAUAAAUUUGUAACAAAGUUACAUACCUCCUAAUAAUGAUGUUGAUCCUGUAACCAUUUCAUGGUUAAUUGAACAACCACCAACAGUAUCAGUCAUUUCCUCAGCCUUCUCUGACAGAUUAUAAAACAUGAUUAAAAGAAAAAAAAUACAUAUUAUAUAAUAAAAUUGUAGUAUAAAAGUACAAUAUAAAUAGUAUAAUUUGUUUGAAAUAAUUAGUAUUCUCAAAAACUAUGACUGUAUAAUGUGACACUAAAAAUACGUUGUUUAGAGGAUUUUAGUUUAUUCCUUCGGUUAAGUAAAAAAAUUUAUUCAUGUGCUUUAACUCUUGAAACUCGUCUCUGAAUUUCAGUCCACAGUGCUCGCACUUCAAGCGAUCAUCUUCUUCUUCAAAAACUUGAUUCCAUUACUCUUCAUCUUUAGGUCUACCCAUUGUUAUUAUAUUUUCCUCUACCCAAAAAAUCAAAGCUAAUUCUUGCUCACCACCUCAAUGACUGAGAGUUUAAUCAAAAUGUCAAUGAAAAUUCAACAACAUGGUAUUUCAAUUCACAUUUCAAAUUCAAAACACUCAAAACUCAGUUGUAAAAUCCUAAUUGGUCAAGCCAAAUGAUACUUAGGGACAUGAUGAUCCUGCACAUAAAUCGUUUAUACUGCGGUAGGUUGUACGGUAGGGUUGUAGGUAACCAUUCACAGCAUUAUGAAAUACAAAAUUAGAUAAAUAAGGAAAAAUAGUUUUGCUGGGAUGAUGGAUAAAUAAUGGAAGACAAAUUUUCAUUGGAAAAACAGAGGAAAAAAAAGAAUUACCGAGCCCUUCUUCCAGGUGGUGGUUGAUUACUGAAUGCAGCAACUUAUUCUCUUCUAAUAUAUGAAAUUAUGUUAGAAAAUGUAGGAGUGAUUUGAGAAAGAAAGAGCAAAAAUGUGAGAAAUGCAUUUGAAGUUGGGUAUUAUAUAGGUCGUUUAGGGUUUAGAGGGUUCGACUCGCUUAUCGUGUUUCAUAAUUUAAUUUUUUUUUAAAUAACAAAAAUAUUUUUAACUUUAAUCAUAUUUAAAAAUUAAUAAAUAUUAUUAAUUUAUUGUACAAUCUAUUUUUAAUUCAAUUUAUCUAGAAUAUUUCAUAUAUAUUUUUAAUAUAUUAAACUUGAUUUAAGAUGAGUUUCUUUUUUUAUAAAAAAAGUUAGUUUUAAUUCUUAAGCUUUAUUUAUGAUUUUUUUUAAAUAAUACAAAAUUAUUAUUUUAAAAAAAUAAGAACAUAUUCUUUACUAUAAUUUUUUAAAGAAUAUAUAUUCCAAUUACAAAUAAAUAAAUAUAUAUAUAUACUAUUAUCUUAAACCAUGAUUUUUAUAGUCAAAGUAAUUAGUAUUGUAAUUGAAAUGAUAAUUUAAAACUUAAUUAAAAGUUAAUAUUAAAAUUAUAUAUCAUAAAAGAAAAUUUAAUACAAGUAAAUAUUCAGUUGAUAUGAAGCAAGAAUUUUAAAUAAUUUUUAUAUACAUAUUUAAAAAAAAUAUUAAUGAUCAUUUUUGGUAGAAGAGAAUUCAAGUGACUAAAAUAGGAAGGACUUUUCAUAUAUCUAAUUUUUUGCUGCGUUUGCCCAUCUAUGUAUUUUUAAUGUCAAAGCACCAUUUUUGUAAUUUUUACUUGUGUAAAGUGUCCACUCAUUUUGAUGCUCAAUACAAAAAGGUUGCAUAAACUGUGAUUUUAUGCGGUGAAGUAUUACAACUUAUACAUGGUAACAUGAAUAAAUACAUUGAAUAACAUAAUUUACAUGAAUAAUUUUGUAAUUUCAAAGUCCUCUUUAUCAACUGCUUCACUCAACAAAGGCCGAGCCUACAAACAAGUUUUUCUUAAUUAUUAAACUCAGCAGUUGAUUUAUAUUUGCAUUCCCUUGCCUUGUUCCUUUUUUAUAAUCCAUACAAAAUGCAUGUGAUUUACAAACGUUCCUAAAAAAACAUUCAAUUAUCCGAAGCUUGGCACAUUACACAAGUUAAGGGCAUUACCACUCCUCUUCUAAAUAAGCUUGUUCUUGUAGGCAUUCUAUUCAAGAUUAUUCUCCAAGUUGUUGUCAGUACAUUUGGAAAAGUUUUGGUCUGCCAUAGGUUCUUGAAAAUACUAUUAUGGGAACAACUAGCAUACUUAGCUAGGCACUCAUAAGCAGAUUUUACGGAGAACUCCCAUGAUGCAUCACUUACCCAUGUCUGGAUAUCCUUAACCUCCUUAUUAAAUCGAACCUUAGAAAUAUACUCUAACAUUUUCUCUUCUUGUGAUGCUUUCCAUUGAAACUUAACCCUCCUCCACCUAAGCCUCCAUCUCCACUCAGAAUCCUCCCACCCUCCUACCUCUUCCACAUUCUUCCCUUGAUCCAACGAAAGAGAAAAGAGCCCAGGAUACUUGGAGAUGAGUGUGACACCACCACACCAAGCAUCCUCCCAAAAUCUAGCCUUAUCCCCACCUCCCACUUUCCACUCUAUCGCUCCUCGAAACCAACCCUUUUCUUCAUCCUCUUCGUAGAUUUUACAUAAAUCUCUCCACCAUCGUGACUGGUACUUCAAGUUAAUCUUACUACAACUAUACUCCACACCAUAUUUAGAUAUGAGGAUAUUUCUCCACUUCCCCUUUUCAUCGCUCAAGAGUCUCCACUUCCACUUUGUCAAGUUCGAAGCCACCCAUCAAAGACAAACACUCUAUCCAGUAUACUUUUUGAUGAGUCGUUCGCUUUGAACCAAGUAAACUUCCUAUCCACAAUCGACAACUCUACCAAAAAGUUCUUAUCAAUAAAAUUAUUGAAGUCUCUGAUCUCUUUGGUAUGACUUCCUCUUUCACUAGUACCUUUCCUUUCAUUAACACUUCUAACUACAUUGAAUUCGCCGCAAAAACACUAAGCCGUGUUUUGAUUUGUACUUCUAAUAUUUGACAAAUCCUCCCACAAAACGACCUUCUCAUUCAUAUUACAUAGUGCAUAAACAUUAAACAUCAAACAUCGCGCAUUUCAUUUUAGUUUUGAGAUGUUGCCCGUACAUAACAAUAAAACUCCUUCCCUCCACAUGACUAUCACAACAAAAAGCUUCUUUAUAUAUAUAAUCAACGUACUUUCAACUCCUUUUGUACAUUCAUAUUACAUUGUUAUUGUUGGAUAAUUAGCCGACAAUAAAGAAUGGUUUAUGAGUUUAUCCAACAUGACAUUCCCCUCAUCAAAUACUUCCUUCAAACUCUUCUUUCCAUUCAACAAUCUUUGUCAAUAAGAUUCAUGAUCAAAUCAAUUUUCAAAUAAUUAGGUAGCAAUGCACUAUACAAGAAACAUUUUUGCACGUUCUUUUCAGUUAAAUUAUCAUAGCUACGUCCUAGUACACUUAAAACUUCUUCCUGCAUCUCUACCCUCAUUUCCAAUGUGUCAAGUUUAUUCAGUGCAUGUCUCCACCAAUAGAUGUCAGUUUUUCCUUUCAUGAUUCGAGCAAUCACACUGAUUCCAAGCGGUAAACCAUCACAUUUCACUACAACAUAUCUUGCAAUAUUUUCCACUUCAGGGGAGUGUUGAAGGUGUCCCAUGGUGUCCGUGUUUUAGCAAAAACAAGUCUCAAACUUCACCAAAAUCAUCAAAAUAUUCACGGAAAGGGCUCACACUUAUCAUAUUAAUUGGCUGGCAAUACAUUUGUUCAAAACACAUGUUUCAAACAACUUGUCAUGAUCAAUUUGAUACCUUUACUCCAAGAAGAAUUCCCACCUUUUUUAGAUCAAUAUAUUUCCAAACAUCAUCCAAAAUAAGUACUAUUUUUUCUCUUGUUACUAACUCUGAUGCCAAAAUCAUUGCUCAUUUCUCUUUUUCUCUCGUACAAACUAUCAUUAAUUUUAAUUAGUUAUAGUCGCUCAAUCAUCAGUUUUAACCAUAGUCAUUGUAUCAUUAGUUAUAAGUUAUAAUCAAACCAGUUAUAGUCGUUCUAUCAUUAGUUAUAAGUUAUAACCAAAUCAGUUAUAGUCGUUCUAUCAUCGGUUAUAACUAGUUAUAAUUGCUCUAUCAUCCUUUAAAGAAUAGUAUAAGAAUGAUGGAAUUGAAAAGUGACUUUUGAAUUUAUAGUUUGAUCCUGUCACAUGUGGAUUGACUUCUAAGUUGGGGACGAUUACAUAGAAACAAAGUUGUAUUGAUUUAUAUUCUAUAGAACACUUUCAGUGGUUCAUAGAAUAGCUCAAAUCCAAAUGCCAAAUUUUAACUGUCCAAACCAAAGCUGUAACGAUUAUGAAGAAAGCAAUCAUCCCACAUACAUUUUGUGAAUUCUCUCCCAAAUUGAGAUGGUCAUGCUUUGUGUCACUCUAGGGAUCAUCCUUGAAAAGCCUUAUUACAAUUACCUAGAUAAAGAAAUGCCUAGCAAAAAAAUGAAAAUGAAAAACAACUGAAUCAUCAAACCUUACUAACAAUUUCCUUGUCUUGGUUUUCCGUGUCACCUUCUUCAAUGUUCAUACUCUUGUACCAGCGAGCACAGAAGAAGUAGAGCACAAAGUCAAGAGCAGUUAGUAUUGCAAUGAGGAAGAAAAACCUAUCCAGGUGCCCCACAUUCAAGUUAUUGGGAAUCCAUCCUGGAUUAUCACCUCUUUCAGUGAUUCCCGCGACCAUGUACACCAGUGUGCUACUCACAUAGUUUCCAAGGGAAAUUGAUGCCAUGCAAAGUGAGCUCCCAAAGCUUUUUAUGCCAUCUGGUGCUUGCCCGUUAAAAAACUCCAACUGACCCACAUACACUAAAACUUCUGAAGCACCAACCAGAACAUACUGCGGAAUUUGCCAAAAUAUAGUCAAAGAACUAGCCUUUUUCCCAGGUAUAACGUGCUUGAGCCUUUCAAUCUCUGUGACACCAGCUGCAAUCAUAGAUAGCAUUCCAAUAAUUAGGCCAACUCCCAUUCUUUGAAGCUCAGUUAGUCCCCUAGGAUUGCCAGUGAAACGUCGUGCCACAGGAACAAUGAUAUAGCGAUAAAUUCCAGUGUUUAAAAGGACACUGCAGAUAUCAAACACUGACAUGCUGGCUGCUGGCAAGUGAAAAUUUCCAAUCCUGUUGUCCAUCACAUCCCCUUGCUCCACAAAAAGAGAAGCCAUUUGCGUAAACACCACCGAAUAAAUUAUAGUACAUAGCCAAACUGGUAACAUUCUCAAUACACACUUGGCUUCUUCAACUUGAGUUACGGUACAAAGCCGCCACUGAUUAUUCUUGAGAUCAUCUCCAUCUUUCUCCGUUAUCGUUGCUGCCUUGUCCAUGAAUCUGCUCAACAUCAACCAACAUGAGCUAAGGAUGUUAGUUUGUUAGUUUCAAUUCCACACAACCAAAAGUACUGUAAAGAACACAAUCAAAAUAGUUAGUUGUUUUACUCAAUGACAUCACCUCAAAUCAUUGCUGUGCAUAAUCUUUCUACUGCCUUUUAUGGCAGAUUCUGGACCAUCAACCUCAUAAAGUUGGUCUUCCGUGCUGUAUUGAACCUUACACUUUCUAAAAGCAGCCACAAAAACCUGAGCUACCCUUAUCACCGGAUUCCCGUAUGCCUUUACAUAUCUAUAUUUCUUAUAUCCUGCCAAGUACGAAACUAAAGCAAUAAUAGCUGAGGCCAAGGAUACCAAGAAACCCAUUGUCCACAUCCCUGAAUCCUCAUAGUAUACUAAUAUAGUAUUGGAGAACAAAGAUCCAACGUUGAGGGCAAAGUAAAAGUAAGAGAAGAAAGCUUCUCUCGAGUCCUUAUGUUUUUCGUUCUUCUCAUCGAAUUGAUCUGCGCCAAAGGUUGCUAAGGUGGGUUGGUGCCCUCCGUAUCCAAAUGCCACUAGAUAAAUGGACAAGUAGAACACACCAACACCCACCGAUGAUGGUUCCCUGCAUUUUGUCUCUUCAUUGCCACAACCAGCUGGGUUGAUCAAAAAUCGCCAAGAAGUCAGGGACAACAGCCCCAAGCCCUGUUCAUUCAUGUUCAACGAGCAUAUUUAAAAUUUUGUAGUAUUAUUAAUUUGUUGGUAAUGGCAAAACAAGUGUUAUAUAGGAAGAUGAAUUCAAAAGAAUGCAGUACCACAACAAAAAUGAUCUGAAAGAUUGAGCAGGUUAAGUAUCGACCCCAGUAAGAAUCACUGAGAAAGGCUCCAACUAAGGAGAAUAUGUAAACGGUUCCGGUCCACUUGCUCACAUUGUUGGCAGCCUCAGCACUAUCUUGGUGAAGGACUCGUGUCAGAAACAAAACCAAGUUCACUCCAACUCCAAAGAAAGCUAGUGUGGCCAAUGCUUGAUUCACUGCAUUUGUAUUCAGUGCAAUGUUAAAGUAUUCAACUUACUUAUGUUUUGCCAUUCAUUUCUGAUUUUUCUAAAGUAGAAAGUGGAUUACAAUUAACUCAUCAUUUUUCAGUACCUAGCAAGAUAAUUGUAGUUUUCCACCCUCCUUUACACUUCUUAUCAUUUGUGGGUGACUGUCCUAUGUAGCCAUCAUUUUCUCCACUCACCUGUUUUUAUUUAGAAAGAAAGAAAACAUUAUAAAUAACAAAUUUAGCUCAUAACCCUUUUGCCAUUCAUCAAAAGAAAUCUACCUAUCUAUCUAUGAUAUUAUUGGUAUGUGUAUUCAGUUGUGACAUGAAAUAUUUAUGCAGAGAACCCUUCCCUUUGUUUUUUAUGAAAAAAGAAACUAAACUUGAUCGACUAAGAAUAACUGACCUUGAUUGGCUUGGCAGUGUGUGAAUUGGCGAUUCCCGGUUCCAUCUGCGUCAUGAAAAACUCUGUUUAAUUCUUCAAUAAAGCUAAGAUUUCUCUCAAACACCUUAUCUUUCAAUAAGUUCUUCAGUUUUAAGACUUUCAAGUAUGAAAAUCCACUAUCCUUGGUGUAGUUUGUUUCUAGUAGUUUUUAGAAUCCUAAAACAAGAUUUAUUAGUUCGCUUAGCUAAUUUGUUUAUCUCCAUAAUCUUCGUGUUUGUAGAUAAGAAACCAAGUGAAUUAUUAAGGAUAAGAGAAUCAUUUCUCUUCAAUUAUGAAUAAGCAUAACAAAACAGGUGCUAUAUAUGCUACUCUUCUUUAGAGUCACAAAGAAGGAAAAUACAUAUACAACACCACGAUCUGCAUAUGGAAACAAACAAGUGUUAGUGUUGUUGGCUGCCUUAUACAUCAAACAAACCGAAACAUACAAAAAAAAAACUUCAAUAAGAGCGUUUUACUUUAGAAAAAAAAUUGAGUGCUAGAAAUACUAACAAUAACAUAAAGUUGUAUUGUGGUGUGAUGAAUAGUAAUAAAUAAGUAGAAAGUGUAACCUUUUACGGAACUUGGUGACAGAAAGAAUGAACUGUUUAGGAAUAGUGUCAAAUUCUGGUGAAGGGGAAGAGCAAUAAGUAACAACUACAAAGGAAAAUGUUCCCGGAGAGUAUGCCAGAUUCAAAUUCUUUGUCAUUUAUGGAUCACAAUCAAGGAUGUCAGCACUUCCUUCUCUCAAUCUAAACACUCAUACACACAAUGUUUAUCAACACUGCAACUCUAGUGACCAAGAGAUAGAGGGAAUUAACACUGCACUAUGGUCAGUAAUGCUGUAUUUAAACUGUAUAGUCCUAGCAUGUGUGGUGAACGCCAAAGAUGUUAGAUAUACUGAAUUACUAUAAGCCAGGACAAAUGAUAUGGUGGAUUUGUUAUUGUAACUGAAUUACUAAUUCAGGGACCAAUUUUCUCUCCUCCUACCUCAUUUUCAUACAAUUUCUGUUAAGAUUUUUUUAUUGGACUUGUUGAUUGCUUAAAUUGUUAAAUGAAUAUCUAAAAUUGGAUUUAUAAUUUCUAAUAUCACUUAUAACAAUAUUGUGCUAAAAGUAAGCAAACUGGUUAUGCUAGAAGUGAUUCAAAAGGGUGAAUAAUUUAAACCACUUGAAUAAAAUAGUGCUUUAAAUAAAAUUUAUUUAUCAGCAUAUUCUAGAUGUUAUAAAUUUCCAGAAAAAGUUGUUAAGGACAUCAAAUAUCUACCACCCUUGAAAUAUUAAUUAAUUAAAAUCUUACUAUUUUUUUUGUUGUUGUUUUUAAUAAUUCUGUUACAAGUUUGAUUAAAUUUCAAUUUUGAAUAUGAAAAGUGUUUGAUGGGAUAAAAGUGAAGAUGAACUUGAGGAAAAGAUCCAAUGAAGAUGAACUGGAGGAAAAGAUCCAAUCACUUUGCAAUAUUUAGUUUUGAAUUUAAAAAUAUUUUUAUGUCUGUAUUCCUUUUGAAAUAUAAAAUUAAAACAUUUACAAAUAUCUCCUCUCAUAUAUUUGAAUUUUUGGGAUUUUUAUUAUUGAUUAUCUCUCUUCGCUCUUCCUCAUUUUAUCUUUCUUCUUUCUCAAAUCUCGAAACUUCACUCACAUGACUAUCAUGUUAUAUCUCACAUACAUACUCUUUCAUUCCACACAUUUCUUUAUCCGUCCCAAAAUACACUUCUAAGCACAGCAGAUUCCUUAUCACUCACUUCACUUUCUUAUUUUUCUCUUCACGUUAGUAUUGUAAGCCAUUUUCCUCACCAAACCAUGCAUUGUUACGGUCAGAUAAUUAGCCGACAAUAAAGAAUGGUUUAUGAGUUUAUCCAGCAUGACAUUCCCCUCAUCAAAUAUUUCCUUCAAACUCCUCUUUCCAUUCAACAAUCCCAUGUCAACAAGCUUCAUAAUCAAAUCAUCUUUUUCCAAAUCAUUAGGUAGCAAUGCACUAUACAAGAAACAUUUUUGCCCGUCCUUUUCAAUUAAAUUAUCAUAACUACGUCGUAAUACACUUAAAACUUCUUCCUGCAUCUCCACUCCCAUUUCCAAUGUCUCAAGUUUAUUCAGCACGUAUCUCCACCAAUGAAUGUCAGUUUUUCUCGAGCAAUCACACUGAUUCCAAGUGGUAAACCAUCACAUUCCCUUACAACAUCUCUUGCAAUAUUUUCCACUUCAGGGGAAAGUGUUGAAGGUGUCCAACCUUGUCCAUGUUUUAGCAAAAACAACUCCCAAGCUUCAUCACAAAAAUAGUGAGGGAAAGGGUUCACACUUAUCAUAUUAAUUGGCUGGCAAUCCAUCUGUUCAAACACAUGUUUCAAACGACUUGUGAUGAUCAAUUUAAUACCCUUUACUCCAAGAGGAAUUCCCACCUUUUUUAGAUCAAUAUAUGUCCAAACAUCAUCCAAAAUAACUACUAUUUUUUUUCUUUUUUCUAACUCUCUUGCCAAAAUCUUUGUUCUUUUUCUCUCAUCAUCUCCAUAAAGUUCUACCUUUAUUUUUUCUGCAAUGAGAUUUUGUAAUUUGAAAAUGGUGAAACCAUAGGAAACAGUAACCCAUAAGACAUCAUUGAAAGUUUUGUUUCUUUUUAUCUCACUCUGCAUGUAAGUUGCUAGGAAUGUUUUUCCCACUCCCCCAAUUCC